GAAUUCGAAAAACGGGGAAAUAACAGAUAAUUUAACACAAUUCCCUGGUUUAUUUAAGUGCAAUAAACUAAAUAUAGUUCAAGAAAUAACCACUCAUCAGUCCGCCGGUGAUAUUCCGCCGGUAAUACAUCGAUUUCUUGUAUGACCUUUUUGUGGAGUGUGGGGAGGUUGGGUGAAAGAUGGAAGGAAGAGACGAGGGAGAGAGGGAGAAAAGGUGAGAAACACUGACUCAAUGUAAGAAAAAAGAAAUUGUGUCAGUCUACCGUUAGGCACAUCAGCUGGUUUUUAAUGGUGUUAGUUUUUGAGGACUAAAAUCAAAAUUUCCUUAAGGACAAGGACUAAAAUAUACCUUACUUUAAAAGAGGGACUAAAACCAAAACCGAUUAAUAAUAUAAAGACUAAAAACAUAUUGAACCCAAACUUUUUCAAUUUAAUUAGGUUUCUCUAAAUUACUUAAUAAC
Molecule: long non-coding RNA, 461 nt
Filed under: Vigna radiata
Lineage: Eukaryota; Viridiplantae; Streptophyta; Magnoliopsida; Fabales; Fabaceae
Description: long non-coding RNA (VRAD_LNC013750)
Source: RNAcentral